UUGCCACAGCUGAGUGCGGCAUUUCUUUUUGACCUUUUUGUCCUCAAGGACGAACUUGUACAGGGAUUAAUUGGCUUAUUGGGUGAUCAGGAAAACUUCUGGAAACUGGGUGGCCGAAGAAGAUAAAAAGAAGUACCGUUCUUCUUCCAGAAGAAACAGUGUCACUUUUGUGUCUUCUCCUGAAGAGCCAAUAGUGAAGGAAUUUUAUAAAAAAGAAUCUUUAAAACAAGGGGUGACAAAAAGCGGCUAAAAUGGGCAAACAGUUAACCACACUUCGUGCUAAUUAUGCAUCUUUUUGGCAUGGAGUUCAUUAUUUGUUUGCACAGUCUUUUAUUCCGCGUACAACGUAAACAAACCGAAUGGAAGAUGCAAAUUUUUGAAAAAUGAGCUCGAAGCGUCGGAAGUUAAUGAUUCAACAUGGGAAAACGAGUAAUUAGACUAAGGGAUUAUUGUCGUUAUAUUUGUUUUGUGUGUAAACAAAUAAAAGCGUAUAGCUUC
Molecule: long non-coding RNA, 498 nt
Organism: Anthonomus grandis grandis
Lineage: Eukaryota; Metazoa; Arthropoda; Insecta; Coleoptera; Curculionidae
Exons: 2
Source: RefSeq, a predicted model, not a curated record